Molecule: ribosomal RNA, 654 nt
Filed under: Clostridium botulinum
Lineage: Bacteria; Bacillati; Bacillota; Clostridia; Eubacteriales; Clostridiaceae
Description: bacterial SSU rRNA
Rfam family: Bacterial small subunit ribosomal RNA
Source: RNAcentral
AAACCCUGACGCAGCAACGCCGCGUGGGUGAUGAAGGUCUUCGGAUUGUAAAGCCCUGUUUUCUAGGACGAUAAUGACGGUACUAGAGGAGGAAGCCACGGCUAACUACGUGCCAGCAGCCGCGGUAAUACGUAGGUGGCGAGCGUUGUCCGGAUUUACUGGGCGUAAAGGGUGCGUAGGCGGAUGUUUAAGUGGGAUGUGAAAUCCCCGGGCUUAACCUGGGGGCUGCAUUCCAAACUGGAUAUCUAGAGUGCAGGAGAGGAAAGCGGAAUUCCUAGUGUAGCGGUGAAAUGCGUAGAGAUUAGGAAGAACACCAGUGGCGAAGGCGGCUUUCUGGACUGUAACUGACGCUGAGGCACGAAAGCGUGGGUAGCAAACAGGAUUAGAUACCCUGGUAGUCCACGCCGUAAACGAUGGAUACUAGGUGUAGGGGGUAUCAACUCCCCCUGUGCCGCAGUUAACACAAUAAGUAUCCCGCCUGGGGAGUACGGUCGCAAGAUUAAAACUCAAAGGAAUUGACGGGGGCCCGCACAAGCAGCGGAGCAUGUGGUUUAAUUCGAAGCAACGCGAAGAACCUUACCUGGACUUGACAUCCCUUGCAUAGCCUAGAGAUAGGUGAAGCCCUUCGGGGCAAGGAGACAGGUGGUGCAUGGU